AUUUUAUUUUUCUUUCAUCUUCUAUCUUGAUCAUUUAUAUAAUCUUACCAACCUAUGUUCAUGUCAGCAGGCCGAUCCAGAUAUUAUUUGUGUCAUGUACGAAAUACAAAAGAGUACUCUUUCAUUUCUAAGAAGCACACACAUAGGAAAAAGAUACAACCAUCAAUUGGAAAGAAACAAGUUAGGGUCUAACUGAGACUGAUAAGAUUAAUAUUGAGUCCAUGAGUGUGCUAAUAAUCAAGAAGUAACUUUCUUGCCUACUUGCUUGUGUUCUCGCACUCAGCCAUGAAGUACAAUAGCUACACGUUCUUCAUUGGAUUGUUGAGUUUCACUUCCAAUACUCAUUAUUGAGGCCAGAAAAUUCCCUUUAUAUUCCUCGAUAAAAGUACACCACUCAUCAAUGUAAGCUGUUUUAUCAGGAUCCAAGUUUGGCAUCUCAUGGUGCUGAAGAAUUUGUAGAAUAUCUUCUGUUUCUCCAAGAGGAGGGCAGCUUGAGGAACACUCUUUGCCUUUUCUUUUCGGAAUUAUGGUGGCAUUUCAUAGUUAUGACAUGUGGUAGAUUGGUAAGGGAAGCUGCUGAUAUAUCUGCAUUCACGACGAAUAAAUGGUUAAACAGUCCCUCAUUUGUUUCAUUAUUGCCACUGGCCAGAGAAAUAGUUCGGCUGAUCCAGUACAUUGAGUUAGCAGCUAUAAUCUUAACUAGCCAAUCCAGAGGGUUAUCCAUUAGGAAAUCGUUUACUUCUCUGACGAACUUCUUAAUAGUCCUUUCAGCUUCAUUGGAAAGCUCUUCUAAUGCUUCCUAGGAGGUUCUGCCUUGGAGAUUUGUUUUGCAGGCAUCCUUAUCUUGCCAGUUGCAAUAUAAAUCAACUUCUAACUAUACAACAUCCGCUGCAUUUCCGAUGAUUGCUAAAUCCACAUGUUCAUCGAGGCUUUUCUCUGUCAAUUUUAAUUGAAUGAUAAACUAAUAUAAAUAAAUCAUCAUUGGCUCGAUUGUGGAAAGGUCCCAGUAUGACAUAGAUAAUGCUGUUUGUACAUAGAGAAAGUGAAAAAAAAAAAAAAAAAAAAAAAAAAAAAAAGAAAAGAAAAGAAAAGAAAUUCAGUUAUUAUAAUCUCUCUCUUUUAUGUUAAGUCCAAAUAGCAUUACUCAUGGAACAAAGUAGUCACCAGUUGAGUAAUGGAGGGUGGGAUUGUUGAGCCCCAAGACUAGCAAAGAAAUCUCAAGCUUUUUCACUUGGCUCAUUAUUGUGUCCAUCUUUGGUCCUUGGAUUACAAGUGCUUCGACUUCAACCUGAGUAUUGCCAGGACAAAACCCAUGUUUUGUUUAGUUUGAAAGUAAGUAAAUGUUAUUUUAAGUAACUUUUAACUUGCCACUUUCAUCAGAAAACUAAGGUCAUAAUCUGAUAAAAGACAAAAACUCGCCUCAGGCUUACAGGCCUUGCAACGGGAUCCAAGUGAUGUAGCAAGACGAGGAGAGGAAAACACACAACUCAGAUUUCCAAGGACUAACAAUUUGGAGAAGAGUAUGAAUAUCACCCUUAUUAGUUACAUGUGUGAGUGUCCAAAUCAUUGCAUGUUUGGAAUGUGAAGACUGAUCCACCAUCACCAUAACUCUCUUUUUCAUUACCAACACACCAACGUUGUCACUGCUGCUGCUGUACAUGUUGUUAAGCCCUUCCAUUUGCUUCAGAUUUGGUACCAACCCACCUCCAAAAUCAUAACCAUUGAAGCUGGAGGGGCGGAGCUACAUGGAGUCCAGUGCAGGCAGAUGCCCGCACUGGAUUUUGAGUUUGACAGAAAAAACUCCAGUAUGCCUGUGGCUGCACUGCUACACUGAACCAGCCGACCAGGAAAGGAAGCAGAAAAGGGAAGAAGGAAAGUAGAGAGCAUGAACUGACAUAUGAGGAAGCUUGAAACAUAGUCGAAAUUUACAGUCGCCGGAAGGAAACACAGGCGCCAGAGAAUGGAGGUGGAAGGAAGAUGAAACGGGUACUUUUUUUUUCUUUUUAAAAUUGUGGGCUUUUCUUUUGGGCCACUUUUUUAAAAUUAGGCCCAAUCCACUACCUGGGUUUGUAUUGUUCAAUUGUAAUAUUUCACAAAUCAAUUGCAAUUUGCAAAACACGUCCAAGCAAUGUCAAACCCUGAUUUGACUUCACCGGUAUUUCUCAAGACCAAGCUGCAAAUGGGUUGUGAAAUUUACAGACAAUUCCACCUCCCAUUCCAUUCGUGACAUCUUAGAUCCCCUGGCUUUACUCGUACUUCUCACGACUUGAUAAUUGUAUUUUGUUUUCUGGGAUUUUUUUUUCAAUAUACUGAGUUUUCGAUUGAGCUGUUUGUUUUGAUUUAAUUACUUCAUUUGUUUUUAUAUGUAGGAUGAUUCUGCUGUGAGUGAACAGAAGGAGUAUGUUGAAGCAAAUUGGAAAUUCCAAGUAAUUUUUCUUGAAAUUUAUUUUAAUAUAAUUGAUUAUGAUAAAAAAUUAAACUCUUGUUACGAGGCUGAGGAGAUGUUGUAGUGAUAGAACUCGUAUCUACUAAGUUUUGGUUGAACUAAACUGAAGAUCUUAAGUUUUGAGUUAUCAAUGAAAAAGAAAACAAUUAGAUUAAUCAAUUAUUAGUUGUAUUAAUAAUCUCAUAUCAAUGUUUUUUUUUUAUCAUAAACUAAUUUUGCCCAAAAAAAAUCUCUAUAGCCGAUGCCUAAAAUUGUGCCCGCACUAGACAAAUCCUCUGGCUCCGCCCCUGGAAGCUGCCAUUGUUCGAUGCAUAGAAAAGGGAGAGCAAUGGAUGCAGUCAUGUGGAGGGUGAAUCACUGAUGAUAGAAAGCUAUGAUUUUCAUGAGCUUUCGUGCAGGUUCAAGUCACGGGAAAGUGGGAAACUUUGGCUUAUUGUGGCCCUUCGGUUAUCAAUGGCAAUAUAAACAAAUCAUUGACCCUUGUGUUUUAUUGACCAUAGUCAUUUUUUAGUAGCUUAAAUCAAAUUUGGAUAAAAUAUCACCUUGGAGCCUGGAAAGAAUGAUUGUUCGACCAAAAAUGAGUCGAGUCGAGUCAACGGAAGCAGGUCAAUUGGCUAUAGAAUAGGCUGUGAUCAACUAGCAUAAAUCAUCUUGGAGUUGACGGGAAUGUAGUUUAAACUACCAUGUCUAGUUGAGCAAGGUCAGGUAGCAUUUAUGAAAAUAAUGCUAAACACAAAACUUAGAAAAUUGUUACCAUUUUGAAAUGGAAUCGCCAAAGCUGGGUGAAAUUAUAAGUUCUUUUUUUUGAAAUCUAAAUAAAAUUUUGUGAGUUGGUGAGUCAUGCAUGCUAGUCUAUUGGUUAACUUAAUUUGCUUUUCAUUCAGUUAUCGGUAGUCAAGUAAAAAGUUAAAAGGCGUAGAGUCCUGAAACACAGCCAAUGGCCAUGAUGAUGAAAAUGAGUGGCUCGUGAGUUGGGCUUGGUACUUCCAAAUAAUUGCUCCCGUUAAAUUCGCUCAGUAAAUUUCUUCUGUGCAUUUCUUUUUUGCCCUGAUGAUUUAUUCAGUUUUUCGCUCCUUCAUUGUUAUGACAUGUUAGAGACCUUCACUUUAAUUUUCCCUUCAUUGUUAAUACAAGUUGACUUCGUAUUAUUAACAUAGACUCUGGUGUUGAAACUUGACCUAGUUCUAGUUUUCUACCAUGCUCUUUAUGAGACAAAUUUGUCCAUUCCUCAUACUUACAGGGACCUUUCCACAACCAAGCCAAUUAUGAUUUAUUUUUAUAAGUUUAUUAUUUAAUUUUAGAAAAAAAUACUUCAAAAUUAGUUGUAACCACUUCUUAAUUUUUGAAACAUAAACUUUAAGGCAAUUUUUAAUAUAAAAAUUUUGAAUAUCUUGAUCAAGCCUUCAAUUUUUUUGUUAAGCUUUCAUAAAGUUUUUCAGUUUUGUUUAAGAAUAUUUUUCACGAACAUUAUUUUGCACACUGUUGCUAUAACAUUGAUUUAGCAAGCGCUAUGUUAUAUACUCAAUUAAAAUUUAGAAUUAUGUAACUCAUUUUAAUUGUAAAUCUUAUUUAAUGUCACUUGGUAUCACCUAGACUAAGAAGAAAAUUGUGGUUUAAGAGUUCUCAGCUCAACGUGUUUGAGAACAUGCAAAAUGGUUGAAUUUAUACAAGUUCCUUGUGCAGUGGAGAUAAUUACAGACUUUCUCUAUUUUUAGCAAAUCUUAACAGAUUCCAAUUCUAGUCUAUAUCAAGCAUACAUAAGCUAGUAAUUUCCUGUAAUUGCUGAACUGACUUGGAAGACAACUUGGCUCGCUUGAUUGUUUUGCCAUAAAAAUUGAUUUAAUUAGGAGUGAAUCUUGGUAGCUAUGAUUGCCUUUCCAUUGCCUUAAAUACUUGCUUUGCUCUUGACUGUCUUGAUUGAAAUUCCAUUGAUCUGAUUAAUUGUAUGUGAUUGGGAUUCCUUUUGUGUGCACUCUGAUUUAUUUUCUUCCUUAUCUUUCCAUGAAUCCUGGUAGCUUUGAUUGCCUUUCCAUUGCUUUAAAUACUUGCUUUGCUCUCAAUUCUCUUAAUUGAAAUUCCAGUGAUCUGAUUAAUUGUAUGUGACUAGGAUUCCUUUUGUGUCACUCUGAUUUAUUUUCUUCUUUAUCUUUCCAUGUUUUGCGCUUGCUAAUACCCUCUCUCAACUUGUGACAGGGUUGGAGACACAACUUGCUGCGAAGAGAGUGUAAAUUGGGCUUGGGAAGAGCCUUUGUAAAGAUAUCUGCAAUCUGAUUCGCAGAAGAAACAUGGCGUGUGACAAGGUGACCAAGAGCAACCCGUUCCCGAACAAAAUGAUAAUCAAGUUCAAUAUGCUUGCUUCGGGCAUGAAAGACGGGGUUAACGGUCAUGUGUAGAGCAGUCAAAUUAUCACAAAAAAGAAUUGGUGGAGAACGAAGAAGAACUUUAAGAUCACGAAGGAGGAAAGCCAAGUAAGCUCAGCUGUGGUAUGAGCCAAGGAUCGAUAUUCAGCUUCAGUACUCGAUCCAGACAUCGUGCUUUGUUUCUUUGCACACUAGGAGAGAAGGUUCCGACCAAAAAAUGUGCAAUACCCAAUGGUGGAACAUCUAGUUGUGGGACAGCCUACCCAAUUUGCAUCAGAGAAAGCAAAGAGAUCAAGUGUAGACUAUGAGAAAAGCUGUAAUCCAAGAGAAAUCAUCCCUUUGACACAAUGUUCGCUAAAAUACUAUCGCAAGUGCACGGGUCGCGUCCAAAUAAUAAAGUGGACUGUUUAAGUCUGGAUUGUCGAUUCCUCGAGGAAUGUUUACUUUAAAUUACACAACUUCAAUCAAUUUAAUUCUAACAAUGAAAGUAAACGAACACAAU
RNAcentral lists this long non-coding RNA (5308 nucleotides) under Olea europaea subsp. europaea. Lineage: Eukaryota; Viridiplantae; Streptophyta; Magnoliopsida; Lamiales; Oleaceae. The record is from RNAcentral.